Molecule: non-coding RNA, 2099 nt
Organism: Ictalurus punctatus (channel catfish)
Lineage: Eukaryota; Metazoa; Chordata; Actinopteri; Siluriformes; Ictaluridae
Source: the annotation of a RefSeq genome assembly
AUGACUGAGAGCUGCAGCUCCAUAACUUCACCCACAGCAACCAUGACUUUGAUCCGCGUCUUCAUCUGCACACUGGCCCUCUGGACUCAAGGAUCCAGAGGUCAGGUGACUGUGACUCAGACUCCUUCAGUGGAAACUGUUGUUCCAGGAAACACAGUCACCAUCAACUGUAGAUUCAGCACUGCUGUUUAUCAUGACUGUGGGCCAACUGGUGUAUCAUAUGACUGUCUAGCCUGGUACCUUCAGAAACCUGGAGAAGCUCCUAAACUCCUAGUGCACUAUGUGAGUCACCUGUUCUCAGGCACUCCAGCUCGUUUCAGCGGCAGUGGAUCUAAGACUGACUUCACUCUGACCAUCAGUGGAGUCCAGGCUGAAGAUGCAGGAGAUUACUACUGUCAGAGUUACCAUAGUGGUGGAGUGUUCACACAGUGUUAGAGCGCCGUACAAAAACCUCGGUCAGUGAAAGUGCACAGAGAAGCUCUGCUGCAGCUGGGAGCGACUGCAGGUGCUGAGAGGGAGGAUGUGAUACAGCACAAUGACACACAAUGUGGAUGAGAGAAAACACACACACACUAACUCACUAAUGCACACACACACACACACAUCUGUCAGAGGAGUCCACUUUAUUCAUCUGUCAGUACAGUCAACACACACACACACACACACACACACACACACACAAAACAUCAUCAAGUACACAUCACUACAGUGUCCUUUUCUCUCUUUGGUGAUUUUUUUUCCUCACUGUGACACAGGUACGUGUUUUCAUCAGGAGGUGGAUUAUUUCACUCGCUACAUUCCUGAGAAAAAAAGGGUUCCUCACUGGUUCUUUGGCUCAGAGGUUCACCCACAGGAACAAUCAAGAACACUUGAGACAAACAUAUGAGACAUGAGACAAGCCAAGCAUACUCAGCAAAUUCAACUCUGUAAAGAUGCUGUUAUUACUGUAUAUUGUAAGAGGCAUCAACAUGGCCCCGGCCUACCACCAGAUGGAGACAGAGAGCUGCCUCUUCGUAAUUAGUGGCACCCAGCUCCACCUGUGACUGGUCUAUUUAUGGGCUGCUUACAAGUCGCUCAACACACUUGAGUUCUUGAGUUCACCGUGCAUGCGCAUGUUUGUAGCUGUAUAUUGAAACCUGGAGCUGAACUUUAGGCCAUUCCUUUGCGCUGAGUUGACUUCACCAUAUCACCCUAAUCACCGUCUUGAGUCUUUUAUUUCCUGUUUAGUUCUCUGUAGUGAGCAGUCAGUGGUUUCUCCCCUGACAGUCAAGUUUAUUCCUUUAGUUUAUCCUUGUCUUUGUUAUCAUUCUCAGUAUCUCAACUCCUGAUUUAGGAGAGUGCUUUUUCAGCUUGUUACUUUUCUCCAUAACCAGUGUAGAGUGUGUUGGCCUGAGAUUAUUACUUAUUUCCCUUUUUGGAAGUUUCUGUUCCUCCCCAUUAUAUGUUCUGUACUUGGGUUUGAACUCUUGGGUAUUGAUUGUGGUUUGCUCAGUUUACUCAGCUCUUUUGUAUACUGAGGCCUGAGUUUCAAGAUGGCAUGGGGUGAGUCACAACAACAUCCUCUACCAUAAAAGUAGUGUUAUAUUAUAUUCAACUCAUUUACCAUCUUUAGGCAUCUUUCCCCACUUAUGUUUGGGUACAGUGAGAAGGGAAAUAAGUAUCCAGACACUUUUGUUUUUGCUAUUUAAUACAUUUCCAAUACUUACAUCACCUUCAUAUUUACACGAUACUAUGUUUUGACUUUGUACUUAAUAUAAGAACUCAUGAGCUUUUUUUCCCCCUAAAUCAUGUGUUUAAAAAAUUAAAUUGAUGAAGGGGGAAAAAGAAAAACAUUUUCAGACACCACAAAUUAACCACAUUGAUACUUUAUUUAAAGCAGUUAUUGGCAGUUUCAGCUUCAAAACAUCUACAAUAACAAAUAAUUUGCUUUUUGCAGCAUUUCGGCUAUCAUUCUUGCCACAUCGUUUACAAUUCCCCAAUGUUACGAGGUCUCACAAUAUCUAAGUUUUCACAGGGAUUCCAGUCAGGAGAUGAAAGGCCUUCAGCUAUAACAUGAUUUAUGGUUUUCCUCCAAAUAAUAAUUAAAACAAACACAAGAU